UACGGAGGGUGCAAGCGUUAUCCGGAUUCACUGGGUUUAAAGGGUGCGUAGGUGGGUCUGUAAGUCAGUGGUGAAAUCUCCAGGCUUAACUUGGAACUGCCGUUGAUACUAUAGACCUUGAAUGCUGUGGAGGUGAGCGGAAUAUGUCAUGUAGCGGUGAAAUGCUUAGAUAUGACAUAGAACACCAAUUGCGAAGGCAGCUCACUACCCAGAUAUUGACACUGAGGCACGAAAGCGUGGGGAUCAAACAGG
RNAcentral lists this ribosomal RNA (252 nucleotides) under uncultured bacterium. RNAcentral describes it as "partial 16S ribosomal RNA". It matches the Rfam family "Bacterial small subunit ribosomal RNA", at positions 524 to 776 of the family's 1533-position model. The record is from RNAcentral.